This 275-nucleotide long non-coding RNA is filed under the name Trifolium pratense (red clover). RNAcentral describes it as "long non-coding RNA (TPRA_LNC005872)". Lineage: Eukaryota; Viridiplantae; Streptophyta; Magnoliopsida; Fabales; Fabaceae. The record is from RNAcentral.
UAAGGCUAUGUUUGGAUUGAUGGUACAUAACGGAAUGGAGCGGAAUGAAACAUAAUGGAAUGGAAUGGAGUGGAACGGAAUGGAACACAAAUUUCGUUCCAUUGUUUGGAUAUUCAAUGAUGGAAUGGAACAAAAUUACCACUCCAUUGUUUGGGAAGUGAACGGAAUGGAAUAAGCCUAAGCACUUUUUAGUAAGUUAUCCACAUUGAACCAACAACAUUAUCCCUAACUAACUCUGCUCUAGCGGUAUCAUCAUUGUUUUCUCUUUGAGCUUG